This 437-nucleotide ribosomal RNA is filed under the name uncultured bacterium. RNAcentral describes it as "partial 16S ribosomal RNA". It matches the Rfam family "Bacterial small subunit ribosomal RNA", at positions 355 to 782 of the family's 1533-position model. The record is from RNAcentral.
UGGGGAAUCUUCCGCAAUGGACGAAAGUCUGACGGAGCAACGCCGCGUGUAUGAUGAAGGUCUUCGGAUUGUAAAGUACUGUCAUUGGGGAAGAACGGUUUUCUUGAAAAGAUUGAGAAGACAUGACGGUACCCAAGGAGGAAGCCCCGGCUAACUACGUGCCAGCAGCCGCGGUAAUACGUAGGGGGCAAGCGUUGUCCGGGAAUUAUUGGGCGUAAAGGGCGCGUAGGCGGGCCUUUAAGUCCGGUGUGAAAGAUCAGGGCUCAACCCUGAGAGUGCAUCGGAAACUGGAGGCCUUGAGGACAGGAGAGGAAAGUGGAAUUCCACGUGUAGCGGUGAAAUGCGUAGAUAUGUGGAGGAACACCAGUGGCGAAGGCGACUUUCUGGACUGUAACUGACGCUGAGGCGCGAAAGCGUGGGGAGCAAACAGGAUUAGA